AGGAAUUUAAGACAAACAAACAAAUAUUGAAGUAUUAAAAUAUUCCCGCUAGAGGGCAGUUAGGUAGAUCCAGGGAAAAUGGCCGCUUUGCUAGGGAGCCUUUCGGCCCCAGCAAAAUCAGCUCCCGAUUCUGACGAUUCAGAACCGGGAGAGAAGCUUGGCCUACUGAUGGAGAGAUUGCGGCAGAAAAGAAGUCAACUCAAAUCUUGGGGAGAGACAUCAAAGAUGUUAAGAAUUGCUAUUAAUGACAAAAGACAACAGUCUACAGCAUUGGAAAAAGUUCAGUUACAGAAGUAUAUGGAGACACUGCAGAAGGCUUUGAAAGUGAAUACAGUACCAGCCUUGUUAGAGAGACUAGAGACCAUGGCAGUACAGACUGGCUUGAAGUACACCCCGAGUGCCAUGGGGUGCAUCAUAGCUUCUGACCUGUUUAAAGUGGAGGUCCUCUUUGAUGGCACUGGGGUUUUCAGGGAUGUCCGUGUGGCACACUGUGGGAGAGAUUCAGAAAGUUGCCCAGAGAUUCAAGAAAUUCUCAAGGCUGGAAAUCACUCUGAGUUUUUGGAACAUUUGAGAGGUCUGGUUUCCAUGUAUCAAAUAGGAGACAAAGACAAGAAACUUAGAAUCAAGGGUUUUAUGGCUUUGACAUCCCUGGAGUCAGAUCUGAACAGGGUAGCCCAAUUCCAGAGUUCAAUUAGUGGGGUUUCAAGUUAUAUACACAAGUCUCCUUUGGGAAUAUUACAGCCAAGAUGUGGAGGAAAACCGAUGAGGUUAACAUAUUUUGUAGCACCCUAUGACCUUUUAGAUGGGAAAGCCAAGAAAUCAUUGCCAAUGACUGUAGAAGCUAUCACUGAGAAUAACCUGGGUCAUAAUGCGGAGGUGUGUAUAUCACCCAGCAGUGGACACAAACUCCAGACCAUGCCACUGAUGACCAUCAAUAAGACAGAGGGGAAAAGCCUUCCACACUUUGCGGCACAAACCAGUUUGAACAGUGUCACACUUCCAGCACAAUUUAUUCUGAAACUUGGCAAGCCUAUCCCAGUGGCUGUCAGUAUAUUGAUGAAAAUACAGCAAACUACAGGUAUCCAGUUUGUGAACAUGUCCCAAGCACAACCAUUGGUGAAUCUUCUCAUACAGGAGGUGUAUGGUACCAAGAUGGACACACCCAGGAAAGGAAUUUCUGUGAAGUUACCAGGGCAGCAGCAUACAUAUGUGAUAAACGAUGGCAGCGCGGAGGAUAUGAUGGGCAUCGUAGUCGAUCAAAUCCCCUUCACCCUUCCAACCAAUGUCCCCAGCAUUCUACAGAGCCUCAGACAGCAACUUCUGUUUAAUACUCUCAUUGCUAGCUGUGUGAGAGGAAAGAGUGUAGAGGGUACAUCACAUUCACUGGUAUUUGAAGUGACACCAGUAUCCCUACAGUAUAUAACUGUUGCAUUUGAACAUCCACUCCAUACUUCCAUGGCAACAGCGGAGCUAGACUUGAGUGAUGUCACUACUGUGAAAUGUAAGCUGUACACAUUGUCAGGAGAUGAGACAAUUUGCUCUGAUGACUACGUGUGCAGAGUGAUUCAAAGGUGCUUAUCCAUCCCUGUGACAAUGCGUGCCAUAAUUCGCAAGGUGUCCAGUCAAAUAGAAAAGUUGCGCCCACCACCUGCAGCUCAGCCAACGGCAAACAUGCAAAACUUAUUAGCCAAACAAAUUAUGGACAAGAGACUCAGUUAUUUUGAGGCAACAAUACGAAAUCCAUUACUUUUAAAUGAGUUGAAAAUGAAUGAAUUUUCCACAAGGGAGAAUAUCAUUGGCCCCUUCACUCCUGGUUUGAUGCCAAAUCAUCCAAUCGGAUCGCAGGGGCCAACGAGCAUGUACAGGUUUCCCAAUGUGAUGGCAGGGGGGCCUCAGUACGGUAACCAUUACGAUGGUGGUGGACAUGGUCAGUCGGGUCUAGUCACACCUGAAAUGGAAAGUCUAGAAGAGAAACGGGAACGGGUAAAUAAGAAUCCCAUGCUGGCUAGUCUUCUUGAUCAGGACACUCCAAGUCCUGACCCACAAAUUCAACAACAGCAAGUGCAACAGCAGCAACAGCAGAACUCUAUCUUGUCUAGCUUACUUGGAGAUCAGCCCCCCACCCCCAUGGCAGCACCUACAAAGCAAAGAAAAAAGCGCAUGAGACGUUCAACAUCCACGACCGACGGCGGUCGAAGUCCAGGAAGCAGCACAGGCAAAAGUCCCAAACGCAAAGUCAGCGAGGCUGAAGAAUUUGAAAAUCGGCUGAAGGAAAUGGAAGUUGACCAGUCAGCGGGAGACCCAUUUGAUUCUUCAGUUGGAAGUAGUAUCAGCAAUCCUGCGUUAACAAGUUCCCAAGUUUAUGGGGAUCAGGUGGAUCCGUUCAGUGUCCCAGUGGAAUCCCAGAUUGAUAAGCUGAAAAACAGUGUCGAUAACUUUAUCAAAAAGGAGUCCAAAUCCAUCAAUUCCUGUCAGGGGUCGUCUGAGUUGUCAAUGUUGCUCAGUGAUAUUGAGACUGACACUCAGGUAGGGGGCAGCAUGAUCAGGCGACCUAGCUCCGGAGAUGCCAGACCGGGUAGUGCACAUAGUCUUGCGCGAAGCACCAGUGGUGCCAGUGUUGAAGAAAUUCUCACGAAUCGUACGACUCCAUUAGAUCCAGAUGCAUUUCAGGGUAAAGAUGGAGGAACAUUCACACCAACACAGUUUCUAGGGGAGCCUGGUAAAGUAAGCAGGAAAUUCAGCAAAGGCUCUACAGAGUCAAUGGAGUUUAAUGCAGAUCUUUUAAAUCCAGAUUCAAGUUUUGCUGACAGUUUGAUAGAGAAUGCAACUGAUGAGAUGGAUCUGGACACUUGUGAUGCUAAUGCCUUUGGUGUGGGGUUUAACCCAGUAGCCAUCAUGGCUUCCAAGAUGGCUGCCAAGGUAGAAACUGCUGACUCUCAGCAGGGGAAUGGUGCUAGUAAAAGUCCAAGCAGGAAAACGCCUGUACAGAGAUCCAAUUCUCGGACAAAUCAUAACUUUGAGCGCUCCAACUCCCUUGAGGAGAAACCUGUGGAAACAUCAAAUACCCCUAAUAAAAGCCUGGUUAUGUCACUAAAACAGUCAGAACUACAAUCCAAGGUAGACUCACCACAAGAAGCCCUGGAUUUAUCCAAAUCUUCAAAAGAUUUCACUAUGAACGAUGAGACACCGGGGUUAAAAAAUGACCUUGGGCCAUCCCCGUUAGACCUGACCGCGGACAUAGAAGUGGCCAAAAUAACCGGGUCAGGUGGAGAGAUGGCCGCAAGUAAGGGCAUGGAACUGGUCAGUCCUCUCAAAAUCCCAGCAUUUGCAGUCAGCCAAAGAACAGGAACAGGUGCGAAAAAGGAAAGGACUUUGUCAAAUAAAAGUGGUAAGAUUCCAAAAGAUGCCAAAAGGCGGAACAGUGAUCGGGAGGGUGGGAAACGUAAGAAGGAGGAUUCAGGAAAAGAGAAAACUGGCAAACGCAGAAAGACCAUUUCGAGUAUCGAAGGUCAUCCUCAGGGGGAUCAGAUUUACAGCAUUGAGCAGGCAAAGAAGCCAACUGCAAUUAAAAUCACAACCAGUAAGCUGAAAAGUGUAAAGCCGUCAGUAGAUGGCAGUACUAAUAAGAUGGACUUAUCCAAAGCAUCAGUGUCUGCCAAACCAAAAGUAACAGUCAUACCUCCAAUGAGCUCAAAGAAACCAGAAUCUGGUCAAAAAGGCAUGAUGUCACCUCCUGUUGUGAACAAAUCUGGCCAACCAGUCAUGUCGGGUAAGACGCCAACCACACCUUCCCCCACGCAUAAGCUUCUGUCAUCAAAGAUAUCCCCCACACAAUUUGGGAAGUCACCAACCAUAGGAAGGAAUUCACCAUCUUUAAAAAACUUAUCCGGGAAGGCCUCCCCAAUGUCACGAUCGCCUAGUGUUGGUGGUAAAAGUAGGAAAGCUAAUAAUCAAGUGACUGUAAGUAAGCAGGACUCAAAACUUAUGAACAAGACCCCGACUAUUAAACUUAAACCUAUUGCCCUUCCUGCCAACCAACCCCCAGGCACAGGAACAACAACAUCAUCUGCCUCCCCUGGAGCAACUGGGAAGCAGCCAUUCACUCCCACAACACCAACAACGCCUGGGAAAAUCAAGGCACGGAAGAAGUCACUCUCAGCAGUUAUUGACAACCUUACAAAGCAAAGCAAUUCUGUAGUUCUUCCGCAGACUGCAGAGCCCGGUGUUGAGAAGAAAGAAGAGGAGAAGAAAAAGGAUGACAAAACUGGUUUGGAUGUCUUGAAACCAGACACAACUGGUUUCUUGUCUAGUUACAAAAUUCCCAAAAAGGUAAAGUCGGAAACGCCUGUGACUACCUCGAGUGCUGUGACAGCCUCUCAGGACAAACCAUCCAGUACUGAGAGAAUGAACGUUGAAUUGAAAUCUGCUGACAGAAAUACCUCUGAUUCGACAAGCAAAACCAAAAGUGAAAAAGUUUUAAAUGCAGGCAACCCAAGUACUAAACCUGUUAAUAUUACCUCCAGUCCAGGAAGAGCUCCACUCCCUCCCAGUCGUGUAGGUGGCAGCACAUCCUCAUCGCCCAGAACAUUCAAACCAAAUUUUGGAACAAGUGGGGCACCUUAUAGCACAAACAAUGUAAAUAGUUCUAAAAACAAUGGAGAUGAAAUAAAUAAUAGGACAAGCAUUGGGGCUAAAACCAACCCUGUCUCAACUGGGGCAGCCACAAGAUUAGACUUUACAAAGCCACCAGCAAGCCCACCUCCAUCCGAAACUCUGACUCAAAAACCGCAAAAAGAAAUUCCAUUGAAAAGCAUUAGUGAGAAAGACAGUGUGGAAAAGACUCAUGUAUCUGACUCUGCAGCUAAAUCUCUCCAGUCCAAAAACGUGAAUGGCUUGAAUAACAAUAAUAAUAAUAAUGGAAAAACUGGCAAUGGUGCUUCCCUAAAGAGUGGAGUAGAAAAAAGGCGAGGUCUGUUUGAUUCUAUAGGAUUCGAACCCAAAACUGAAUCUACAGAUAAGGGAAAAGACUCGGAGAACAGGGUAAAUUCAAUAGGUGGGUUUACAUCUGAAAAGCAAGAUUCAAAACAGCAAUCCAGCUAUGAUGGAAUAAGUAACCAAUCGACAUCAAGUUUUGACAUGACUUUGAACUCUCAAAAAUUGGGGUCAUCUCCAAGAGUCUCUUCUUCAUCAUCAUCAUCAUCUUCGUCUUCAUCACAAACAAGUAGUAGUAAUCUUAGAAGCAAUCAUGUUGUUGGAAAUGACAGCACAAAUAGUCCCACUUCAACCAGUACUGUCAGGCCUCAACAAAGUGACAAAGACACUGAUAACAUUUUUAAAGCUCCGACUCCAAAACCUCCCGAGUCCCCAAGUCCUGCUGGCACAGUGUUAGAAAAUAAUAAAAGAGACGAUGGGUCACCUGCACCCAAACGCAUAAGAAUCGAGUCUCAAAAACCAGUCUUAAGCCCAAGAAGUGACGCUAGUAGUCCUGAUAACCUGAUUAUCGACUAUCCAUCAACGCCAAAGUCUUCUCAGCAAACUGGCGCUGUCAGAUCCCCUACAGCGAAACUCGGUAGUGAGUCCCCUGCUAUUGGGGCUAUCCCACAAUCCCCUGCAGAGGAGGCAGCCAUGCAUUCUCCCGCUGCCGUAACCUUGAAAUCACCAGCUCCAGCAAUGCCCAUCAAGUCUCCGUUGCCACAUGCUCCUUCGCCUUCUCCAUCAGCCAAUAAUAAAUCGAGUUCUGCCAGUAGGGGAACGUCACCAGGCGAUACAGCUUGUGAUCUGGAUGAUGACUUGAUGGAUGCAGCAUUAAUGAACUAAAAGGUGCUCCUUAUCAGAAUCGUGAAGCUUCAACAAAAUGAGGGAUGAAAACCAAGCUUGUAGGUACCAAGUGACUGUCUAUUCAACCAGGCUUUGUUAUAAUCAACAGGUGAAAAACCAUGAAGUACCAAGAGAGUGUAAGGUCAACCAGGUGAUGUAAGUGGACCUUUUCAAGACCAGUCUUUGCAUCAGUAUAUCCAAAGGCCCUGAAAAGAACACAUAAUCAGGACUCGCAUCACUCUUCAAUGAAAUGCGUGCAAAAUGUAUUGCAACCCAACACCACCAUUUAGGGCUGAGACCUGAGGGAAUAGUUUGGCUUGAUGUGGUAACCAAUCAAAUAGGAUGCUGAGCACCAUGGAGCAACCACACUUGGUGUACUUGGUGCUGUUAGAUCUUUCAAACCAAGAUGGCUGGAAGAUGUUUCAAAGACGGUCGUUUAGGAAGGGAAUGGUUCAUGAUGAAAUGACAAACUAAAGAAGCAAGUUUGCUUUAACCACUUCCGAAUAUCACCGUUGUUCCUGGUAAAGAGAGGUUGGGACACAUGGUGUGGUGUUGGUGGGUGGACAUGUACCUGUCACAGCUGAGACCGAAGGCAAAUGUGUUAAGAAGCAUUUUUAUCUCAGAUGAAAUGCACUGUCCUUGUAGUGACCAGAAAUAAUAAGGAUUUGACAAGUGAACUGAAAUCAGAAAUUAGUGCCGAGUUAUAUGAGCACAACAACAAGAUUUGGCUUCAGGUUGGAGUAAGUAGAAAGUUACCAUCUUAAGCUAGUUUGACCUUAGAUGGUUUAAGAUUUGUAAUUGGAAUUUGUGCCGAAAUGAUGCCAAAACAAUAACAGAAACCUUAAAGUGGAAAGAUAUCAGUAAAUUAAGUGAUGUAUACAGUCAACUUCUACUUAAUCAACAACAUUUGGUGUUUAGGAUAAACAAAAACAAAUUAGUGAAUGAAGUGUAAAUGUGUUUAUAAUCAGUGAAGAAGGCAGUGCUUGCAUUGGUCAUGAGGGCAUAAAUAUGAAAUCUGAAAAUGUUUGCC
RNAcentral lists this unclassified non-coding RNA (6847 nucleotides) under Lingula anatina. RNAcentral's name for it is "mediator of RNA polymerase II transcription subunit 1, transcript variant X4". Lineage: Eukaryota; Metazoa; Brachiopoda; Lingulata; Lingulida; Lingulidae. The record is from RNAcentral.